RNAcentral lists this unclassified non-coding RNA (253 nucleotides) under uncultured Pirellulaceae bacterium. RNAcentral's name for it is "contains 16S-23S intergenic spacer region". It matches the Rfam family "Bacterial small subunit ribosomal RNA", at positions 524 to 776 of the family's 1533-position model. The record is from RNAcentral. Lineage: Bacteria; Pseudomonadati; Planctomycetota; Planctomycetia; Pirellulales; Pirellulaceae.
UACGGACCGGACAAACGUUAUUCGGAAUCACUGGGCUUAAAGAGUACGUAGGCGGCUCAGCAAGUUGGGUGUGAAAUCCCUCGGCUCAACCGAGGAACUGCGCCCAAAACUGUCGGGCUUGAGGAAGGUAGGGGUGAGCGGAACUGAUGGUGGAGCGGUGAAAUGCGUUGAUAUCAUCAGGAACACCAGUGGCGAAGGCGGCUCACUGGACCUUCUCUGACGCUAAGGUACGAAAGCUAGGGGAGCGAACGGG